UUGGGGACUAAAUAAUUGUCAAUCGGUCUCUACAGGAAGACAAUCCCUGAACAGUAUCCUUCCUCCCCAGCUUCACUUCCUAUCGUAUAGGUGCAGGUGUGCCUUACUGAAGAGGUCUUUUCUACCUGGAGGAUCUCUAAGCCAUUGGAGAGGCUCAGUUCCUGGUAUUCCUUCCAAAUGACUACAUGGCUGAAUUUACUGAUGACGAGGAGGUUAACAUUCUGUGUUGAGUCCCAGGUAGGAGUAUUAUGAAAUUAGUCCAUCAGGAGCUGAGCAGAGCUUAGCUCAUUCAUACAUUGCAGAUGAGAGAGAGAAAGAGAUCCACAGAUAGGGAAGGGUCCCAAUCCCCC
This 350-nucleotide long non-coding RNA is filed under the name Phascolarctos cinereus (koala). Its description in RNAcentral is "lncRNA (ENSPCIG00000035623.1)". Lineage: Eukaryota; Metazoa; Chordata; Mammalia; Diprotodontia; Phascolarctidae. The record is from RNAcentral.